GAUGAACGCUGGCGGCGUGCCUAAUACAUGCAAGUCGAGCGAACAGAUAAGGAGCUUGCUCCUUUGACGUUAGCGGCGGACGGGUGAGUAACACGUGGGUAACCUACCUAUAAGACUGGGAUAACUUCGGGAAACCGGAGCUAAUACCGGAUAACAUUUGGAACCGCAUGGUUCUAAAGUGAAAGAUGGUUUUGCUAUCACUUAUAGAUGGACCCGCGCCGUAUUAGCUAGUUGGUAAGGUAACGGCUUACCAAGGCGACGAUACGUAGCCGACCUGAGAGGGUGAUCGGCCACACUGGAACUGAGACACGGUCCAGACUCCUACGGGAGGCAGCAGUAGGGAGUCUUCCGCAAUGGGCGAAAGCCUGACGGAGCAACGCCGCGUGAGUGAUGAAGGGUUUCGGCUCGUAAAACUCUGUUAUUAGGGAAGAACAAACGUGUAAGUAACUGUGCACGUCUUGACGGUACCUAAUCAGAAAGCCACGGCUAACUACGUG
RNAcentral lists this ribosomal RNA (497 nucleotides) under uncultured bacterium. RNAcentral describes it as "partial 16S ribosomal RNA". It matches the Rfam family "Bacterial small subunit ribosomal RNA", at positions 28 to 507 of the family's 1533-position model. The record is from RNAcentral.